CCUACGGGAGGCAGCAGUCGGGAAUAUUGCGCAAUGGAGGAAACUCUGACGCAGUGACGCCGCGUAUAGGACGAAGGUCUUCGGAUUGUAAACUAUUGUCGUUAGGGAAGAGAAAGGACAGUACCUAAGGAGGAAGCUCCGGCUAACUACGUGCCAGCAGCCGCGGUAAUACGUAGGGAGCAAGCGUUAUCCGGAUUUAUUGGGUUUAAAGGGUGCGUAGGCGGAUUUUUAAGUCAGCGGUAAAAUGUCCGGGCUCAACCCGGGCCGGCCGUUGAAACUGGGGAUCUUGAGUGGGCGAGAAGUAU
RNAcentral lists this ribosomal RNA (305 nucleotides) under uncultured bacterium. RNAcentral describes it as "bacterial SSU rRNA". It matches the Rfam family "Bacterial small subunit ribosomal RNA", at positions 338 to 660 of the family's 1533-position model. The record is from RNAcentral.